RNA transcript from Neopelma chrysocephalum (saffron-crested tyrant-manakin), 4180 nucleotides. It is a transcript of the gene named gamma-aminobutyric acid type A receptor beta1 subunit, with no coding region annotated. The transcript is spliced from 11 exons. The record is from RefSeq and is a predicted model, not a curated record. NCBI's taxonomy places the organism in Eukaryota, Metazoa, Chordata, Aves, Passeriformes, Pipridae.
GCCGUCGGGAAUUGUUGCUCCUCGCCGCUCCGCGCCAAGUUCCAGCGCGCGGCGCGUCCCCCGUGAGCGGCCGCCGGGAUGGGGGCGGCGGCCGGGCGGGCCGGACCGCGGGAGCUGAUGCUGCCGCUGGCGCUGGCCGUGGCGUGCGCGGCGUGCAGUGCCGACGGGCCCAGCAACAUGUCCUACGUGAAAGAGACGGUGGACAGGCUGCUCCAGGGCUACGACAUCCGCCUCCGCCCCGACUUCGGAGGUCCGCCCGUGGACGUGGGCAUGCGGAUAGAGAUCGCCAGCAUCGACGUGGUCUCGGAAGUCAACAUGGACUACACCCUGACCAUGUACUUUCAGCAGUCCUGGAGGGAUAAAAGGCUCUCCUAUUCUGGAAUACCUUUGAACCUAACUCUGGACAACAGAGUGGCUGACCAGCUCUGGGUGCCGGACACAUAUUUCCAAAAUGACAAGAAAUCAUUUGUCCAUGGGGUGACAGUGAAAAACCGAAUGAUUCGACUCCAUCCAGAUGGGACAGUCCUUUAUGGCCUACGGUUGAGCUGCUGUGCCAUGUUUUCUCCGAGGACAAGGCAGCUCUUUAGAUGCAUCUGGAUCACAACAACAGCUGCUUGCAUGAUGGACCUACGCAGAUAUCCUCUGGAUGAACAAAACUGCACACUAGAAAUUGAAAGUUAUGGAUACACUACUGAUGAUAUUGAAUUUUACUGGAAUGGAGGAGAGUCGGCAGUAACAGGAGUUAAUAACAUUGAGCUCCCGCAAUUUUCUAUCGUUGAUUACAAGAUGGUAUCAAAGAGAGUGGAAUUUACAACAGGAGCAUAUCCUCGAUUAUCACUUAGCUUCCGGCUUAAAAGAAAUAUUGGAUACUUCAUUUUGCAAACUUAUAUGCCUUCCACGCUAAUCACAAUUCUUUCAUGGGUAUCUUUUUGGAUCAAUUAUGAUGCCUCUGCAGCCAGAGUUGCUCUAGGAAUCACAACUGUGCUGACCAUGACCACCAUCAGCACCCACCUCAGGGAGACCUUGCCAAAGAUUCCCUAUGUCAAGGCAAUAGAUAUUUACCUGAUGGGAUGCUUUGUGUUUGUGUUCCUGGCCUUGCUGGAAUAUGCCUUUGUAAACUACAUAUUCUUUGGGAAAGGACCUCAACAUCAAAAAAAGACAGCAGGCAGGGCAGGACAUGCUCCAGGCAAGAAGAGCAGACUGGAAACAAAUAGAGUCCAGGGACAAGUUUAAUUUUGCAAUACAUCACUGAGCACUUGCAAACUGCUAUAAACCUAUUUCAACUUUUCCCAGUUUUUCAGAAAUAAACCCUUCAAAGCCUCAGGUGUAUUUGGCCCAGUCUGACUCAGAGGAAAAUACAUAUCCUAAUAGCCAAAAAUCUUCUUCCUUUCUCUGCUUUUCUUACAAUAUAUUACAUCCAAGUAUUAAUGAGAUCUUACCCAGGCUGUCCUAUAAACUUCUGUGCUGUUGUGGCCUGAGGUGAUAACAUUUGGUCAAAACUUUAUUUGAGCCCUCUGUUCAGCUGGAAGAAUGAGACCGACACAUAAAACUCUAACAGGUAAGACUGUAUCUUGAUGCAUGGUUGCAAUUUCACAUACAUAUCAGGAAGUGUGUUUCAGAAACUCUGUGAUAUCUUAUUAGUUCUAAAUUUGUGUGUCUGGUGUCCCAGCAGCCACACCACUACAGCUAAGCAUCAUUAACAAAGCUGUCAUAUUCUCAGCCUCAGUGAACUCAUGAGCCCAUUAAAAGUCCUUACUCACAUUUGCCUCCUGUCCCAUUGUGUAGGAGAUGCUUAUUACAAUGGGGGCACAAUAUCAGUUCAGGCAAUCAUCAGUCUCCAAGGUCCCACAAAGUACUGUCUUCCACAGAGCAGAGGAGAUAAGCCACCCUGUUAUGGAUUGUUGCACGCAGAUACUGUCUAUGCAUUUCUAUGGCAAAUAAGGAAGGGAAAAAAAACAACAAAACUCACAAACGCUGACCAGCCACCUCAACAGCUCCUGAGAUAACCCAGCCUAGUGAGAAGCAGCACAGCAAGGAUUCAGGAUGAAGAGGGAAUCAAUGCUUCUUCAGAGGUCAGCCUUGUCCCCAUGGGCCCCAGUGCACUAAACUGAGUAAAGGAUGAGAAAGUGUUAAGGAUAACAGUGCCGGUAAGUUCUUUUUCCUACAUAUUUGGAGAGUUUGUUUAACUAACAAAAGGCCCUAACUCAUAACUAAAAGCUUUUGUCUAAAUGUUACAUGGCAAAGAUUUAACUGAGGCUGGUACUCAGAACGGAAUGGAAUGGACAGUUUUUAGAGCACCACAUGCAUACACCAGCAUUUUUCUGACAGAAAAAGAAGGCACACAUGCUUUGUACCAGGAUUUGUAAGUGCUUACACUGGAGACAGCAAUUCCAUUUUGAGGCUGAGAGUGCUUUAAGUGAGCAGACUGCUUUCUGCCUGUACAGUGCAGGUUUGUGAACAUUCAUUUUACUCAGCAUGGAAAUGCUGAUGUCCAACGGUUGUAUUUCUGUCCUUGGCAGGAAGAAUGCACAUGACUGGAGAAGUGGGACACAGUAAGGUUAUGUGAAAACAGCUUUGAGCUCUUCUCCAUUGUGUUUUGAGAUUUUUCACUGGUAUUAUGAUGUCUGUACCAGAGCAGGGGAAAGUUUUUUUGGAGCAUAAAAGUACAGUUGUGAAGAUAUUAAUCAUUCUCAUCUGACAUGCAACUCCCAUGAGUAAAAGAGUUCAAAUUCCUUCAGCAGAUAACAAAAGCAUUAGAUGUGUGAGCAACACUCAACAAACUGACCACGAUAUUAACAGUAGAGAGAAGACCAGAUGAACAAUGAAACUGAACUGCUGUUUCUUAUGUGGCUGUUCCUUUCUCUACAGACUGAAGAAGGUGGAAAUAGUGUCUUUCCAGUUUCACAGUUUAUGCCAUUUUAAUUUCUAAUAUACAAAAAAAAUUAAUUUGUAGUAAACAAUAUUUCUUUUUCUCUGAAUAAAGCAUAAAGACUGUUUAUAUGUCCUUGUUCAUUUGUUGAAGCUAGAUGUCAUUAUGGAUAAAUAGGAUAAAACCACCCUGCAAGAAAAUAUUUAGAUAGCCCAUGCAUGCAACUGCCUCUGUUUCCCCAGACAAUGAUAGUGUGAAUGUUACAGAGAAGAUUUCUCUUAAAUAUGAGAAAAAGGUAGAAUGCAAUCAUACUGUGAGUGGGAAAGGGGUUGAGCCAUCAUAAGGUUCAUAAAUGACAACACAAGGCAAGUGAUAGAUGGUCUUGCUCCCCGAGUCCGCGCAGCAUCACACCUUCCUUUCAAACCUUCUGUGAACCACAAAGCACCCAGAAUAGAAAGCCAAAGGCCAGCCACAGGUUCUGAGGAAACCAUGAUUCUCCAACAGAGUGGCUACUGGAAGGAGAAAAAAAAGGGGAAUACAUAACCACACAACUAGCUCAAACAUCAAGUAAAUCCCCACCUGAAUAAGUAUAGCCCUGCUGAGCAUAACCUGUUUCUUUGCAGAUCAGAUUGUGAUAACACUACUGCAUUUGUUCCAACAAGACAGCUUGUAUGAGUAACAUGGCCCUGAAUCUUUCAUCUUAAGAGGAAGAUGGGUUUGUAUUGACAUAAAACAGAAGUUAUUACCUUUUAUCUUCCAACAGUUAAGGUAAAAAAAAUAGGUAGGUAAAAACUCAUUCCAGACAGUGUUUAACAUUUGAGACCCAUUCUUUGUCAAGGAAUGCCAACACGCUAUUCUUCCCCUAGAGCUGACUGACUAUUUUUUAUGUGGUCAACACAGGACUGUUGUUUUGGGUGGUUUUCUUUUUAUUACUUUACUGUUUUACACUUAAAAUAUAAUUUGAUGGCCCUAAGCAGAAAACUCAUUUUCUAAGUAAACAUACAAGCAAAAUUAUUACUUUUUUUUUUAUUAUGUUUCCUCAGCACACAUCAUACACUUAAGAAAAUUCAUACAUAUGUUACCUGUGCUGAUUUAGGCUUUAGGUAGUUCCACUGCAAAGGGAAAAUUAAAAAUUUAUAUACUCAAUUUAGAUACAAUACAGACACAAAUGUUCUUACAAGAAGCAUCACCAUAUUCAUUCACCUGAAGAAUACAUAAACUUCGAUAAUUACACCAGAUGACUAACACAGCAUCAGCUUUAGAUCCUUUGGCAUGUUCUUCACAUAUUCUUCGUUACAUGUUCAAAAGACC